GGCUGGAGAGAUGGCUCAGUGGUUAAGAGCACUGACUGCUCUUCCAGAGGUCCUGAGUUCAAAUCCCAGCAACCA
RNAcentral lists this transfer RNA (75 nucleotides) under Mus musculus (house mouse). RNAcentral describes it as "tRNA-Ser". The record is from RNAcentral. Lineage: Eukaryota; Metazoa; Chordata; Mammalia; Rodentia; Muridae.